CCUACGGGUCGCACCAGUGGGGAAUAUUGCACAAUGGGCGCAAGCCUGAUGCAGCCAUGCCGCGUGUAUGAAGAAGGCCUUAGGGUUGUAAAGUACUUUCAGUUGGGAGGAAGGCGUUGAUGCUAAUAUCAUCAACGAUUGACGUUACCAACAGAAGAAGCACCGGCUAACUCCGUGCCAGCAGCCGCGGUAAUACGGAGGGUGCAAGCGUUAAUCGGAAUUACUGGGCGUAAAGCGCACGCAGGCGGUUGAUUGAGUCAGAUGUGAAAUCCCCGGGCUUAACCCGGGAAUUGCAUCUGAUACUGGUCAGCUAGAGUCUUGUAGAGGGGGGUAGAAUUCCAUGUGUAGCGGUGAAAUGCGUAGAGAUGUGGAGGAAUACCGGUGGCGAAGGCGGCCCCCUGGACAAAGACUGACGCUCAGGUGCGAAAGCGUGGGGAGCAAACAGGAUUAGAUACCCUCGUAGUC
This 465-nucleotide ribosomal RNA is filed under the name uncultured bacterium. RNAcentral describes it as "bacterial SSU rRNA". It matches the Rfam family "Bacterial small subunit ribosomal RNA", at positions 338 to 795 of the family's 1533-position model. The record is from RNAcentral.